Molecule: long non-coding RNA, 231 nt
Filed under: Pan troglodytes (chimpanzee)
Lineage: Eukaryota; Metazoa; Chordata; Mammalia; Primates; Hominidae
Description: long non-coding RNA NONPTRT016130
Source: RNAcentral
UUUACAUGAUUAAACAGACCACUUAGCAUCUUCUGUUACGGCAUCGACCUUAAAGCAUUAAGCAAACCUAAUAUCUGACUUGUAUAAUUUAGACCAAAUGUCUUAAUUUUGAAGAUACGAAGUAUUGACACCAGUACCUGACACAUAGCCAGCACUUGAUAAAUAUUUUCCAAUAAAUAACCGAAUGGUAAGAGUUAGCAAAGCAAAGCAUCCAGCCAUCUAAUAUCCCAG